GAUGAACGCUGGCGGCGUGCCUAAUACAUGCAAGUCGAGCGAACAGACGAGGAGCUUGCUCCUCUGACGUUAGCGGCGGACGGGUGAGUAACACGUGGAUAACCUACCUAUAAGACUGGGAUAACUUCGGGAAACCGGAGCUAAUACCGGAUAAUAUAUUGAACCGCAUGGUUCAAUAGUGAAAGACGGUUUUGCUGUCACUUAUAGAUUGAUCCGCGCCGCAUUAGCUAGUUGGUAAGGUAACGGCUUACCAAGGCAACGAUGCGUAGCCGACCUGAGAGGGUGAUCGGCCACACUGGAACUGAGACACGGUCCAGACUCCUACGGGAGGCAGCAGUAGGGAAUCUUCCGCAAUGGGCGAAAGACUGACGGAGCAACGCCGCGUGAGUGAUGAAGGUCUUCGGAUCGUAAAAAUCUGUUAUUAGGGAAGAAAAAAUGUGUAAGUAACUAUGCACGUCUUGACGGUACCUAAUCAGAAAGCCACGGCUAACUACGUG
This 497-nucleotide ribosomal RNA is filed under the name uncultured bacterium. RNAcentral's name for it is "partial 16S ribosomal RNA". It matches the Rfam family "Bacterial small subunit ribosomal RNA", at positions 28 to 507 of the family's 1533-position model. The record is from RNAcentral.